Molecule: ribosomal RNA, 467 nt
Filed under: uncultured bacterium
Lineage: Bacteria
Description: partial 16S ribosomal RNA
Rfam family: Bacterial small subunit ribosomal RNA
Source: RNAcentral
ACGCACGCUGGCGGCGUGCUUAACCCAUGCCAGUCGCACGGAAAGGCCCUGCUUUUGUGGGGUGCUCGAGUGGCGAACGGGUGAGUAACACGUGAGUAACCUGCCCUUGACUUUGGGAUAACUUCAGGAAACUGGGGCUAAUACCGGAUAGGAGCUCCUGCUGCAUGGUGGGGGUUGGAAAGUUUCGGCGGUUGGGGAUGGACUCGCGGCUUAUCAGCUUGUUGGUGGGGUAGUGGCUUACCAAGGCUUUGACGGGUAGCCAGCCUGAGAGGGUGACCGGCCACAUUGGGACUGAGAUACGGCCCAGACUCCUACGGGAGGCAGCAGUGGGGAAUAUUGCACAAUGGGCGGAAGCCUGAUGCAGCAACGCCGCGUGCGGGAUGACGGCCUUCGGGUUGUAAACCGCUUUCGCCUGUGACGAAGCGUGAGUGACGGUAAUGGGUAAAGAAGCACCGGCUAACUACGUG